GCCGGGCGUGGUGGCGGACGCCUGUAAUCCCAGCUACUCGGGAGGCUGAGACGGAGAAUUGCUUGAACCCAGGAGGCGGAGGUUGCAGUGAGCCGAGAUUACACCACUGCACUCUAGCCUGGGCGACAGAGCGAGACUCCGUCUCAA
Molecule: non-coding RNA, 147 nt
Filed under: Homo sapiens (human)
Lineage: Eukaryota; Metazoa; Chordata; Mammalia; Primates; Hominidae
Source: Rfam by way of RNAcentral